UUUUUUAAUUAAGAGUCAAACCAAAUACAUAAAUAUAUUAGAGGAGUUCACUCUUCGUAGCAAGUGCUUGGGGAAAUGUUUAGUUAUUUGCCCACUGUUUUUGGGUUAGUGGGCGGAGGAGGAGGGAUCGUAGGUCUUAAUAUCCAACCCAUUGGAAAGAGUACAGUUCACACUUAGUAAAAAGUCACACCUGACCCCUCAAAACAGCCUUCGCAAAAAGCGCAAAACCUUGAGGGAGUCUACGGAUCCUUUCAACGUUUCUGAAGAGAGGUUUGAGGAGCUUUUCAGGCUCACAAAAGAAAUGUGUAACAGUAUCUUUGAGGAGAUCCGUCCUCAUAUGCGAGAAAUUGCAGCAGGUGCGAUUCCUUGGAACUUUGCGAUUUUUCGCUCAAGGUGAAUAUAGAUUUGUAUAUUUUUAAACAAAUUAUUUUCACGAAAAUGCGUAAUCUUUUUGCUAAAUAUCUCGCAAAGCAGCGUUAGCAGAUUUCCACAGAUUUUAUCGUGAAUUCCGUUUCCCAGGGGUAAUAGGUGCUAUUGACGGUUCCCAUAUUAACAUAAAGAAACCAAGCAAGGUCAUCGAACACGUAUAUGUGUGUAGGAAAGGAGGUCACUCAAUAAACGUGCAAGUGGUGACAGCAGAUACCCGCAGCUUCCUUUCUUAAUGACUCCAAUUCAGGGUAACAAUCUAUCUCAAUCAGAGGAAAACUAUUAUAGACGGCACAGAAAAGCCAGGAGUGCUCAAAACGAGAUUUCGUUGCCUUAUAAGAGAGAGAGUGUUAAUGUAUGACGCCAUCGUAGCAGGGAAAAUAAUUAAUUCAUGCAUUAUUAUGAUUAUGAAUAAUAUCGGUGGAAAAUUAGAAGAUGAUGAAAUGUCAAGUGAAAAUGAAAUUUUUUAUGAAGGCAGUGAGGGAGAAAUCUCUCCUCAAGGCAUAUCUGCAAGACAACAUGUAGUUAAUAAUUUUUUUUAAUUUACGAAUUUUGAUGCCAUAAUAAACCCAAAAAUAAAAUUGCCGCGAUGGUCACAAAAAUAGCACCAAAAUUCAAAAUGGUGUUCUUAGUAA
Molecule: long non-coding RNA, 1061 nt
Organism: Rhagoletis pomonella (apple maggot)
Lineage: Eukaryota; Metazoa; Arthropoda; Insecta; Diptera; Tephritidae
Exons: 2
Source: RefSeq, a predicted model, not a curated record